AUAUCCCAGUGUACGGUAUAAUACAGAGACAGGUGAGGUGUAAUAUCCCAGUGUACGGUAUAAUACAGAGACAGUGAGGUAUAAUAUCCCAGUGUAUAAUACAAUAACAGGUGAGGUGUAAUAUCCCAGUGUACGGUAUAAUACAGGUGAGGUGUAAUAUCCCAGU
Bufo bufo (common toad) is the source of this 166-nucleotide long non-coding RNA. RefSeq lists it as uncharacterized. The transcript is spliced from 3 exons. The record is from RefSeq and is a predicted model, not a curated record. Lineage: Eukaryota; Metazoa; Chordata; Amphibia; Anura; Bufonidae.